CGGUGACAAACCGGAGGAAGGCGGGGAUGACGUCAAAUCAUCAUGCCCCUUAUGACCUGGGCUACACACGUACUACAAUGGCCGGUACAAAGGGCAGCGAAGCCGCGAGGUGGAGCCAAUCCCAGCAAAGCCGGUCUCAGUUCGGAUUGCAGGCUGCAACUCGCCUGCAUGAAGUCGGAAUUGCUAGUAAUCGCGGAUCAGCAUGCCGCGGUGAAUACGUUCCCGGGUCUUGUACACACCGCCCGUCACACCACGAGAGUUUACAACACCCGAAGUCGGUGGGGUAACCCGCAAGGGAGCCAGCCGCCGAAGGUGGGGUAGAUGAUUGGGGUGAAGUCGUAACAAGGUAGCCGUAUCGGAAGGUGCGGCUGGAUCACCUCCUUUCU
RNAcentral lists this ribosomal RNA (386 nucleotides) under Cohnella sp. SGD-V74. RNAcentral's name for it is "bacterial SSU rRNA". It matches the Rfam family "Bacterial small subunit ribosomal RNA", at positions 1153 to 1533 of the family's 1533-position model. The record is from RNAcentral. Lineage: Bacteria; Bacillati; Bacillota; Bacilli; Caryophanales; Paenibacillaceae.